This 479-nucleotide ribosomal RNA is filed under the name uncultured bacterium. RNAcentral describes it as "bacterial SSU rRNA". It matches the Rfam family "Bacterial small subunit ribosomal RNA", at positions 28 to 355 of the family's 1533-position model. The record is from RNAcentral.
GACGAACGCUGGCGGCGUGCCUAACACAUGCAAGUCGAGCGGGGUUGCCUUUAGCACUGAGUAUUUUUAAUCAUAUGACGCAUGCGUCAUGCAGAAACUACCGAAGAAAAGAGAUGAAAGUUUCUGCAUCACGCGUUCCACAAGUGCCAACACGAAGUGGGGCGUGUGCAUCAUGAAAAUUCAGGCGAAAGAGAAUAUUCAGUGCUGAAGGUAACCUAGCGGCGAACGGGUGAGUAACGCGUGGGCAACCUGCCUCAUACAGGGGGAUAACACUGGGAAACUAGUGCUAAUACCGCAUAAGAUAUCUUGGCGCAUGCUGAGGUAUUGAAAGGAGGUAAUCCGGUAUGAGAUGGGCCCGCGUCCGAUUAGCUAGUUGGUAAGGUAACGGCUUACCAAGGCGACGAUCGGUAGCCGAACUGAGAGGUUGAUCGGCCACAUUGGGACUGAGACACGGCCCAGACUCCUACGGGAGCAGCAGU